RNAcentral lists this ribosomal RNA (429 nucleotides) under Pseudomonadota bacterium. RNAcentral describes it as "Proteobacteria bacterium partial 16S ribosomal RNA". It matches the Rfam family "Bacterial small subunit ribosomal RNA", at positions 355 to 776 of the family's 1533-position model. The record is from RNAcentral. Lineage: Bacteria; Pseudomonadati; Pseudomonadota.
UGGGGAAUAUUGGACAAUGGGCGAAAGCCUGAUCCAGCCAUGCCGCGUGGGUGAAGAAGGUCUUCGGAUUGUAAAGCACUGUAAGUUGGGAGGAAGGGCAGUAAGCGAAUACCUUGCUGUUUUGACGUUACCGACAGAAUAAGCACCGGCUAACUCUGUGCCAGCAGCCGAGGUAAUACAGAGGGUGCAAGCGUUAAUCGGAAUUACUGGGCGUAAAGCGCGCGUAGGUGGUUCGUUAAGUUGAAUGUGAAAGCCCCGGGCUCAACCUGGGAACUGCAUCCAAAACUGGCGAGCUAGAGUAGGGCAGAGGGUGGUGGAAUUUCCUGUGUAGCGGUGAAAUGCGUAGAUAUAGGAAGGAACACCAGUGGCGAAGGCGACCACCUGGGCUCAUACUGCCACUGAGGUGCGAAAGCGUGGGGAGCAAACAGG